UACAGAGGGUGCGAGCGUUAAUCGGAUUUACUGGGCGUGAAGGGUGCGUAGGUGGUCACGAAAGUCGGAUGUGAAAGCCCUGGGCUCAACCUGGGAAUGCCAUUCGAUACUCCGCGACUAGAAUUCGGUAGAGGGAGGCGGAACUCCAGGUGUAGCGGUGAAAUGCGUAGAUAUCUGGAAGAACACCGAUGGCGAAGGCACUUUACUGGGCUAUUACUGACACUCAGAGACGAAAGCUAGGGUAGCAAAUGGG
This 253-nucleotide ribosomal RNA is filed under the name uncultured bacterium. Its description in RNAcentral is "partial 16S ribosomal RNA". It matches the Rfam family "Bacterial small subunit ribosomal RNA", at positions 524 to 776 of the family's 1533-position model. The record is from RNAcentral.